UGGCGGACGGGUGAGUAACGAGUAAAGAACUUGCCCUUUAGACUGGGAUAACAGAGGGAAACUUCUGAUAAUACUGGAUAAGUUAGUAUAUCGCAUGAUAUGCAAAUGAAAGCUACGGCACUAAAGGAGAGCUUUGCGUCCUAUUAGCUAGUUGGUAAGGUAAGAGCUUACCAAGGCGAUGAUAGGUAGCCGGCCUGAGAGGGUGGACGGCCACAAGGGGACUGAGAUACGGCCCUUACUCCUACGGGAGGCAGCAGAA
This 259-nucleotide ribosomal RNA is filed under the name uncultured Leptotrichia sp. RNAcentral's name for it is "partial 16S ribosomal RNA". It matches the Rfam family "Bacterial small subunit ribosomal RNA", at positions 96 to 354 of the family's 1533-position model. Lineage: Bacteria; Fusobacteriati; Fusobacteriota; Fusobacteriia; Fusobacteriales; Leptotrichiaceae. The record is from RNAcentral.